Molecule: long non-coding RNA, 278 nt
Filed under: Elaeis guineensis (African oil palm)
Lineage: Eukaryota; Viridiplantae; Streptophyta; Magnoliopsida; Arecales; Arecaceae
Description: long non-coding RNA (EGUI_LNC049377)
Source: RNAcentral
ACGAAUAAAGAGUCUUCAGGUUGAUUAUUUUAUGUGAAAAUUAGAAAGUAAUGUUGGACAAGUUGUUGAUCUCCAUGCAUCUCUCUGACUCUACUUCUUGUCGGAAAUCGGACUAGCAAAUGAUAUGUCGAGACUGUUAUCCUUAGAACAUUAAGACCAGGUCAUCCGAGUAUGACAUUAUAAGCCGAGAGAAUUUGGACAACCGUGAAUAUCAAGAGAAUAGUACUCUGUUGUGGUUUAGUUCCUGCGGUUAAUGGAAGAGUGAUUUCUCCCUCCAC